This 676-nucleotide ribosomal RNA is filed under the name fungal endophyte. Its description in RNAcentral is "eukaryotic LSU rRNA". The stretch from base 388 to 676 matches the Rfam family "Eukaryotic large subunit ribosomal RNA", at positions 1 to 294 of the family's 3401-position model. The record is from RNAcentral. Lineage: Eukaryota; Fungi.
CGGCGCCCGCCGGAGGAUAACCAAACUCUGAUUUAUCGACCUUUCUUCUGGGUGGUACAAGCAAAUAAUCAAAACUUUUAACAACGGAUCUCUUGGGUCUGGCAUCGAUGAAAAACGCAGCGAAAUGCGAUAAGUAAUGUGAAUUGCAGAAUUCAGUGAAUCUUCCAAUCUUUGAACGCCCAUUGCGCCCGCCAGCAUUCUGGCGGGCACGCCCGUUCGAGCGUCAUUUCAACCCUCAAGCUCUGCUUGGUGUUGGGGCCCUACAGCUGAUGUAGGCCCUCAAAGGUAGUGGCGGACCCUCUCGGAGCCUCCUUUGCGUAAUAACUUUACGUCUCGCACUGGGAUCCGGAGGGACUCUUGCCGUAAAACCCCCAAUUUUCCAAAGGUUGACCUCGGAUCAGGUAGGAAUACCCGCUGAACUUAAGCAUAUCAAUAAGCGGAAGAAAAGAAACCAACAGGGAUUGCCUCAGUAACGGCGAGUGAAGCGGCAACAGCUCAAAUUUGAAAUCUGGCCCUAGGCCCGAGUUGUAAUUUGCAGAGGAUGCUUUUGGUGCGGUGCCUUCCAAGUUCCCUAGAACGGGACGCCAGAGAGGGUGAGAGCCCCGUACAGUUGGACACCAAGCCUUUGUAAAGCUCCUUCGACGAGUCNAGUAGUUUGGGAAUGCUGCUCAAAAUG